AGCGAAGCGGGAAGAGCUCAAAUUUAUAAUCUGGCACCUUCGGUGUCCGAGUUGUAAUCUCUAGAAGUGUUUUCCGCGUUGGACCGCACACAAGUCUGUUGGAAUACAGCGGCACAGUGGUGAUACCCCCGUACACGGUGCGGACGCCCAGCGCUUUGUGAUACACUUUCAAUGAGUCGAGUUGUUUGGGAAUGCAGCUCAAAUUGGGUGGUAAAUUCCAUCUAAAGCUAAAUAUUGGCGAGAGACCGAUAGCGAACAAGUACCGUGAGGGAAAGAUGAAAAGCACUUUGGAAAGAGAGUUAACAGUACGUGAAAUUGUUGGAAGGGAAACGCUUGAAGUCAGACUUGCUUGCCGGAGCUUGCUUCGGUUUGCAGGCCAGCAUCAGUUUUCCGGGGUGGAUAAUGGUGGUUUGAAGGUAGCAGCCUCGGCUGUGUUAUAGCUUUCCACUGGAUACAUCCUGGGGGACUGAGGAACGCAGCGUGCUUUUUGCGAAGGUUUCGACCUUUUCACGCUUAGGAUGCUGGUGUAAUGACUUUAAACGACCCGUCUUG
RNAcentral lists this ribosomal RNA (552 nucleotides) under Rhodotorula kratochvilovae. Its description in RNAcentral is "eukaryotic LSU rRNA". It matches the Rfam family "Eukaryotic large subunit ribosomal RNA", at positions 92 to 656 of the family's 3401-position model. Lineage: Eukaryota; Fungi; Basidiomycota; Microbotryomycetes; Sporidiobolales; Sporidiobolaceae. The record is from RNAcentral.